This 422-nucleotide long non-coding RNA is filed under the name Populus tremula. Its description in RNAcentral is "long non-coding RNA (PTRE_LNC002133)". The record is from RNAcentral. Lineage: Eukaryota; Viridiplantae; Streptophyta; Magnoliopsida; Malpighiales; Salicaceae.
AGCACACACAUUCACUAUUUUCAUUUCUUUUCUUUUUCUUUUUUUUUUCUUUUCUUUUACAUCCACAAUGCAAAUACAAAUACAAAAUACAAAUACAAAUUCAAAUUCAAAAUAAAUAAAUAAAAAUACACCAACACACACAUCCCCUUUUUUUUAUUAUUAUUUUCUUUUCUUUUCUUUUCUUUUUCUUUUACAUUCACAUAUUACAAAUUUAAAAUAAAUAAACAAAAAUUACAUUAAAACUUUAAAAUUUACAAAAUGGUCCCUCAAAACUCCCGAAAUUGCAGGGAAGGACUUCUGCACCCGCAUGAACAGUUCCGGCGCGUCUCCCCACGCGCCACCGUCACUGGCGGCGCGUGGGUUCACGCGCCGCCGCGAACAAAGACAGGAAACGGGUAGAUCUGGUUCCGCUUCCUUUCCCU